GCCAGGCGUGGUGGCUCAUGCCUGUAAUUCCAGUGGCUUGGGAGGUUGAGGCAGGAGGAUCAUGAGUUCAAAGCUGGCCUUAGCAAAAGUGGGGUGCUAAGCAACUCAGUGAGACCCUGUCUCUA
Molecule: small RNA, 125 nt
Filed under: Marmota monax (woodchuck)
Lineage: Eukaryota; Metazoa; Chordata; Mammalia; Rodentia; Sciuridae
Source: RNAcentral